RNAcentral lists this ribosomal RNA (292 nucleotides) under uncultured bacterium. Its description in RNAcentral is "partial 16S ribosomal RNA". The record is from RNAcentral. RNAcentral also lists the same sequence under 1 other name.
GGACUACUAGGGUUUCUAAUCCCGUUCGCUCCCCUGGCUUUCGCGCCUCAGCGUCAGAAGAGGACCAGCACGUCGCUUUCGCCACCGGCGUUCCUUCCGAUAUCUACGCAUUUCACCGCUCCACCGGAAGUUCCACAUGCCCCUACCUCCCUCAAGACUACCAGUAUCAGGGGCACUUUUCCGGUUGAGCCGAAAGAUUUCACCCCUGACUUGGUAACCCGCCUACGCGCCCUUUAAGCCCAGUGAAUCCGAACAACGUUCGCACGGUUCGUCUUACCGCGGCUGCUGGCAC